This 911-nucleotide long non-coding RNA is filed under the name Homo sapiens (human). RNAcentral's name for it is "HSALNT0059390". The record is from RNAcentral. Lineage: Eukaryota; Metazoa; Chordata; Mammalia; Primates; Hominidae.
AUUCUCUCUAGUCCCCCGUUUGUCUAACCUUGAAAUGUUUGACUUGAAGGUUGAUGAAAACAGGAUCAUAUCCUUAAGUGAGUAUAGGUGCUUGGAGAGGAUAAGGAAAUCACCCUGAUCCAAUAGCUGGUAACCUGCGAGGCAUAUCCUAUCUCAUGACUAUGGUAACUUCAAGCAUUACAUCGUCACGCAACUAUUCAAGCCUGGAUGAAAGCAUGAACCAGCAUGGACAAGUAACAAACAGUUUGAAGACCAGGCUGAGUUCAUGACCACACUUGUUGACUCUGGUGACUUCAUAAGAUGGCCCCCGCCUGCCUCGCCUGCCUCUUGUCUGCUGCUCCUUUUGAUUCACCUACAACAAGCUGUUCUCUGUUACCAGAAUAUGCCACGUAUUUUGUUUUACUUCUGGGACUGACUUUACAAUCUGUUCUUUCUUCCUGGAAUGCCCUCCUCUAGCUGGGGAAAACCUACUCAUCUUUUUAGACCAGAUUAAAAGUCACCUUCCCUGUGAUGUUUUCUCGUGGAAAAAAAUAUUUUUUUAAGAGACAGUGGUCUCACUAUGUUGCCUAGGCUGGUCUCAAACUCCUGGGCACAAGUGAUCCUCCCAUCUCAGCCUCCCAGAAUACUAGGAUUAUAGACAUAAGCCAUCACGCCCCCAACCUCAUGAAUUUUAGUUAGGUUAUAGCAGUAUAGUAAAAGUCCCUAUGGAUUGAAUUAUUUGCUCCCUCAUAAGUGUUUUUUCUUUGAAUCCUAAGUACACUUAUUUUAUUGGAUUACAGUUUCUGAGUCAGUAUCCGGGAUAGACUGAAAGUUUCUUGAAGUGAUAAUUGUCUUAUUCAUCUUUAUAUCCCCUGUUCUUGGAACACAUAGUCUGUCCUGAAUAAAUGCCUAUUGAAUUGAAUCAGCUCAAC